AACGAACGCUGGCGGCAGGCCUAACACAUGCAAGUCGAACGCUCGUAGCAAUACGGGAGUGGCAGACGGGUGCGUAACGCGUGGGAACAUACCCUUUGGUUCGGAAUAACUCAGGGAAACUUGAGCUAAUACCGGAUACGCCCGAGAGGGGAAAGAUUUAUUGCCGAAGGAUUGGCCCGCGUCUGGUUAGCUAGUUGGUGAGGUAACGGCUCACCAAGGCGACGAUCAGUAGCUGGUCUGAGAGGAUGAUCAGCCACACUGGGACUGAGACACGGCCCAGACUCCUACGGGAGGCAGCAGUGGGGAAUAUUGGACAAUGGGCGCAAGCCUGAUCCAGCCAUGCCGCGUGAGUGAUGACGGCCUUAGGGUUGUAAAGCUCUUUUACCCGGGAAGAUAAUGACGGUACCGGGAGAAUAAGCCCGGCUAACUUCGUG
This 434-nucleotide ribosomal RNA is filed under the name uncultured bacterium. Its description in RNAcentral is "bacterial SSU rRNA". It matches the Rfam family "Bacterial small subunit ribosomal RNA", at positions 29 to 507 of the family's 1533-position model. The record is from RNAcentral.